This 824-nucleotide long non-coding RNA is filed under the name Capra hircus (goat). Its description in RNAcentral is "lncRNA (ENSCHIG00000006970.1)". The record is from RNAcentral. Lineage: Eukaryota; Metazoa; Chordata; Mammalia; Artiodactyla; Bovidae.
AUGACAACCGCUUCUAUGAGGACAUAGGGGCUAGAGAAUUGUGAGUGCGGGGUUAGAGAGGGAGCGCACCAGAGUCUCAAUGCGUUAGUGAUCGUAGGACUUUAUGAUGAUGAAGAAGAGAGAUAAUACGUCUCUGUCUUCGAACCUGGAAGUAGGAGGGCAGGAUGGGACACAGCAGGAGGUUAAAGAAGCUUGGGGAUCCCCAGGGGUAGAAAGCCCCUCCUUUAACACCACUGAUAUAUCCUUGACACCCAUCCACAGCUUCACUGAUGACCUGGGCUAUCAAGGGAGCCAGGACCUGACCAGCGAAGAAGAUCCCAGCCUCGUUCCAGGCAAGAGGCAGAAGCGGAAUAAGACUGCCACUUUCCGGAUGAGGAGAAAUAAGGUGAGGGAGGAAGAUGAGAAUGACAAGGAGGAUGAGGAGGACGAGGCAGGGCGCUCUCCUAGGGGGAGACGGAAACAACACGCAUACUCAAAGACCCGCCGACCGAAGCAAAAAGAGAACUCAGGCGUCUUGGAAAGUAACUUGAACACGACAGUCUCCAGUACCAAGUCAUCUCCCUGGAGUAUGAUGGAGUUCCGGCAAUACUUGUGUAUGUGUUGCCGAACGAAGCAGAAGCUAGUGGAGGAGAACAAAACGUCAAAUUCCAAAGAAAGGAGAAAUUCAGAUGAAAAGGAGAAUGGAGUCGCAGGUUCUAUUAAUGAGGAAGCAAGGCAACAGGCUCCUAAAGGAACUCCAGGGGAAGUUCUGGGCAAAAGCCAGGAGAACAGAGAGUGUAAUCCUUCAACAUGUAAAUAAAGCAGAUUUUAUUUUUAUGGAUGGU